UGGCGCACGGGUGAGUAAUGCAUAGAUAAUGUGCCCCUUAGUUCGGGAUAGCCACUGGAAACGGUGAUUAAUACCGGAUACUCCUUCUUGUUAUAAGACAAGUCGGGAAAGUUUUUCGCUAAGGGAUCAGUCUAUGUUCCAUCAGCUUGUUGGUGAGGUAAUGGCUCACCAAGGCUAUGACGGAUAUCUGGUUUGAGAGGAUGAUCAGACACACUGGAACUGAGACACGGUCCAGACUCCUACGGGAGGCAGCAGUGAGGAAUAUUGCACAAUGGAGGAAACUCUGAUGCAGCAACGCCGCGUGGAGGAUGACGCAUUUCGGUGUGUAAACUCCUUUUAUUAGGGAAGAUAAUGACGGUACCUAAUGAAUAAGCACCGGCUAACUCCGUGCCAGCAGCCGCGGUAAUACGGAGGGUGCAAGCGUUACUCGGAAUCACUGGGCGUAAAGGGUGCGUAGGCUGGCUUUUAAGUCAGAUGUGAAAUCCAAUGGCUCAACCAUUGAACUGCAUUUGAAACUGAAAGCCUAGAGUUCAGAAGGGGCAGAUGGUAUUAGUGGUGUAGGGGUAAAAUCCGUAGAUAUCACUAGGAAUAUCAAAAGCGAAGGCGAUCUGCUGGGAUGAUACUGACGC
Molecule: ribosomal RNA, 629 nt
Filed under: uncultured bacterium
Lineage: Bacteria
Description: bacterial SSU rRNA
Rfam family: Bacterial small subunit ribosomal RNA
Source: RNAcentral